CCUUAGCUAUAAUAACAAAACCUUACUGCACUAUCAGUGGUAGAAGAUGAUUUAAGGCCCACAGCAUAAAGGUUUUAAAUAAUUGGCCUUAAUUUCCUAUUUAUAUCCACAAUGAUCCUUCUUACUUAAGACACGUAAGAAAAAUAUUUUAAGUAAUCCCAGAAGAAAGGUCCUAGUUGCCUGAUCAAUGGGGGUAAUUGGUGAAUAUAUGCUUUUCAUUCUAAAUUGGGAUUUGGGGUGCAAGAGUUUGCUACCCAAAGAUUGUAUCCUGGGAGGGAAGAAAGCACCAACACCAAUAGUCUUACAACUUUUUCCAUCCAUUUUCUUUACUUAUUUCUUCUUGUUUGUAUCAUUUCAUAACGUUAACCAAACCAAGAUUCUCUGUCUUCUUGGAACUGAGAAGGGGUUAAUACAUUGCCCUUUACUUGAUACUGUCACAAAAAACGAAUGGCCGAAAGCAAAAAGAUUAUACACCAACGCCAUCAAGCAUAUGAUUUUGCCACAUGUACGAUGAACAUCCAAUCUUCCUUUCCUCACCCUCAAUCAUAAAUAGCGGUCCAUUGCUCAACCUGGGAUGUACUUGGGACUUGCGUAAUCAAAUUCAUAGUAAAAGCUUCUCUCAUUUCUCGAUCGUCUGCUUCACAAAAUGUCUUGCUGUGGAGAUUGCUGCGGUGGUGGCUCCAUUGGGUAUCCUGACUUGGGAUACUUAGAAAAGACCACCACUGAGACCUUUGUCUCCGGAGUUGCCACAAUGAAAAUGUCGUAUGAGGGGCCCGAGGAAAGGUUUGGAGCUGAGAACGAGUGCAAACAGUGCGGAUUCUCAAACUGCAGCUGCAAAUGAAAAAGAGGAAAAGGUCCAUAUGUAUAUGUAUCUUAAUAUAUAAUAAGACAGCCAUUGCUUUGGCAGAACCUUUUCCAGGGUUUUGCUGCUGUGUUUUAAUGGCUAGAAUUUGGUCUUGUUAAUUGCUGUCAGUGGUUGCUGUUUUGUCAUUGUCGAGUCUUGGUCUUGUGCACGUUUAGAAGCCCGAGAGGGGAGCUUGGGUUUUAUGGAAUGUAACAUUUCAAUGCUUUUCCUUUCA
Long non-coding RNA from Theobroma cacao (cacao), 1079 nucleotides. RefSeq lists it as uncharacterized. Lineage: Eukaryota; Viridiplantae; Streptophyta; Magnoliopsida; Malvales; Malvaceae. The record is from RefSeq and is a predicted model, not a curated record.